UACGUAGGGUGCGAGCGUUGUCCGGAAUUACUGGGCGUAAAGAGCUCGUAGGUGGUUUGUCGCGUUGUCCGUGAAAUUCCCUGGCUUAACUGGGGGCGUGCGGGCGAUACGGGCAGACUUGAGUACUGCAGGGGAGACUGGAAUUCCUAGUGUAGCGGUGAAAUGCGCAGAUAUCAGGAGGAACACCGAGUGGCGAAGGCAGGUCUGCUGGGCCAUUACUGACACUGGAGAAG
RNAcentral lists this ribosomal RNA (233 nucleotides) under uncultured bacterium. RNAcentral's name for it is "partial 16S ribosomal RNA". It matches the Rfam family "Bacterial small subunit ribosomal RNA", at positions 524 to 753 of the family's 1533-position model. The record is from RNAcentral.